This 501-nucleotide ribosomal RNA is filed under the name uncultured bacterium. Its description in RNAcentral is "partial 16S ribosomal RNA". It matches the Rfam family "Bacterial small subunit ribosomal RNA", at positions 30 to 523 of the family's 1533-position model. The record is from RNAcentral.
AUUGAACGCUGGCGGAAUGCUUUACACAUGCAAGUCGAACGAUGAAGCCUAGCUUGCUAGGUCGAUUAGUGGCGAACGGGUGAGUAAUAUAUCGGAACGUAUCCAAUAAUGGGGGAUAACUAGCCGAAAGAUUGGCUAAUACCGCAUACGUCCUACGGGAGAAAGCUGGGGAUCGCAAGACCUGGCGUUAAUGGAGCGGCCCGGGUUGGAUUAGGUAGUUGGGGGGGGAAAGGCCUACCAAGCCGAUGAUCUAUAGCUGGUCUGAGAGGACGAUCAGCCACACUGGGACUGAGACACGGCCCAGACUCCUACGGGAGGCAGCAGUGGGGAAUAUUGGACAAUGGGGGGAACCCUGAUCCAGCCAUGCCGCGUGUGUGAAGAAGGCCUUAUGGUUGUAAAGCACUUUAAGCGAGGAGGAGGCUCUUUUGGUUAAUACCCAAGAUGAGUGGACGUUACUCGCAGAAUAAGCACCGGCUAACUCUGUGCCAGCAGCCGCAGUAA